UCUUUGCAUAUUUUAUAUGCAAGUUGUAAGUAUGCAUAGAAAAGUGGGUGACGUAAGGUAACCCGUUAAGCAGACCGCCUGGGGAGUACGACCGCAAGGUUAAAACUCAAAGGAAUUGACGGGGGAGCGCACAACCGGUGGAGCAUGUGGUUUAAUUCGAUACAAAGCGAAAAACCUUACCUGGGUUUGACAUGUACCUGCACGUUCUGGGAAACCAGAAUUUCUUCGAGAGUGGUACACAGGUGAUGCAUGGCUGUCGUCAGCUCGUGUCGUGAGACGUCCACUUAAGUGUGGUAACGAGCGCAACCCUUGCUAUCAGUUACAAGUGUCUGAUAGGACUGCCCCGCCUCUGGCGGGGAGGAAGGAGAGGACGACGUCAAGUCAGCAUGUCCCUUACACCCAGGGCUACACACAUCCUACAAUGGAGCCGACAACGGGUCGCAAUGGGGUAACCCAGAGCCAAUCCUUAUAAACGGCUCCUCAGUUCAGAUUGAGGGCUGCAAUUCGCCCUCAUGAAGUCGGAAUCGGUAGUAAUCGCAAAUCAGCAGGUUGCGGUGAAUACGUUCUCGCUCCUUGUACACACUGCCCGUCAAGCCAGCAAAGUCAGUAACGCCCGAAGCGGGUGACCGUAACUCUCACGAGAGCGGCCCUUCUACGGCGAGAUUGGCGAUGAGGACUAAGUCGUAACAAGGUAGCCGUA
This 700-nucleotide ribosomal RNA is filed under the name uncultured bacterium. RNAcentral's name for it is "bacterial SSU rRNA". It matches the Rfam family "Bacterial small subunit ribosomal RNA", at positions 797 to 1504 of the family's 1533-position model. The record is from RNAcentral.